This is a non-coding RNA of Syphacia muris, 45 nucleotides long. NCBI's taxonomy places the organism in Eukaryota, Metazoa, Nematoda, Chromadorea, Rhabditida, Oxyuridae. The record is from Rfam.
CCAACGGCCCUCUUUAGGGCCACAUACGUUUAAGUCUACGUUCCG